UAGCACAGUUGGUAGAGCAUGGUGCUUGCAACGCCAGGGUUGUGGGUUUGAUUCCUGC
Molecule: transfer RNA, 58 nt
Filed under: Salmo salar (Atlantic salmon)
Lineage: Eukaryota; Metazoa; Chordata; Actinopteri; Salmoniformes; Salmonidae
Rfam family: tRNA
About the family: Transfer RNA (tRNA) molecules are approximately 80 nucleotides in length.
Source: Rfam by way of RNAcentral